Molecule: long non-coding RNA, 897 nt
Filed under: Equus caballus (horse)
Lineage: Eukaryota; Metazoa; Chordata; Mammalia; Perissodactyla; Equidae
Description: lncRNA (ENSECAG00000057213.1)
Source: RNAcentral
GGAAACAACGCUUCUGAGACUUUCCAUGGUCUUUGGAAUUUACUGGGGUUUGUAAGACCCGCCAUGAUCUGCUCCCAACUCCUCUUCAGCCUUCUCUGUGGUUCAGACGAGAGGAACCACCAGCCUUCCCUAGACAGGCCGCAAGCUCUUCAGUCUCCUUUUCUGAUAAUUCCACUGAGAUAUCUCACUAGCAGUUCAAACUCAAAAAGUCCAAAAGCUAAACUCAUCAUCUUCCCCAAAACCCGCGUCUCCUCUUUUUGCCGACUCGAAGAAAUGCGCCACCUUCAGCCUUCGGUCUAGUUACUCAAGCCGGAAGCCCGAGGACCGUUCUACACUCCUCUGUCUUCACAUCAGAUCCAGGCACCAAGUUCUACUCCUCCUACUUGUAAGUCUUUCUGAAACGCAUCUUAUCUCCUGCUCCCUGCCCCUCUUUCUUCAAACUCCCAUUAUUUUCUCACAUGGAUCCCCGGCCUAAGGUACGUCUCUGCUCCCAGCCCCUUCUUUAACCUCCAUCUCUAUCACCUCUCCAGUCCAUCUCGAAUACAGCCGCGAAGUAUUCAUAAAUACAAAUACAAUCACAUAAUUUACCCUCACCUCCAGCGGAAAUUCUCCCAGGGUUACUCACAACCUUCCUCCUCAAAGCUAACCAUGUCACUUCUUUCAAAGUCUUUUGGUGACGGGUCACUGUGCCAAAGUUAUAAAGUUCAUGCACAGAUAACAAAACAUAUAUUUGUUUUGUCUCCUUGUCUCUCAGUGAUAAACCCAUGUGAUAUUUACAUUAAUAGAUAAUCAGAAGAGGGAACUGGUCAACAAAUAUGAAAGUAAAACAAAAACCCAAAAAGGGACAAUGCUAGAAGUGACAUUUGAACUGAAUGCAAAUGGAGUUAGAGAAGAAAC